RNAcentral lists this ribosomal RNA (408 nucleotides) under bacterium enrichment culture clone ALO1_GLFRUDD03FVEJW. Its description in RNAcentral is "bacterial SSU rRNA". It matches the Rfam family "Bacterial small subunit ribosomal RNA", at positions 9 to 416 of the family's 1533-position model. The record is from RNAcentral.
GAGUUUGAUCGUGGCUCAGAUUGAACGCUGGCGGCAUGCCUUACACAUGCAAGUCGAACGGCAGCACGGGAGCUUGCUCCUGGUGGCGAGUGGCGAACGGGUGAGUAAUGCAUCGGAACGUAUCCUGGAGUGGGGGAUAACGUAGCGAAAGUUACGCUAAUACCGCAUAUUCUGUGAGCAGGAAAGCGGGGGACCUUCGGGCCUCGCGCUCUUGGAGCGGCCGAUGUCGGAUUAGCUAGUUGGUGAGGUAAAGGCUCACCAAGGCGACGAUCCGUAGCAGGUCUGAGAGGAUGAUCUGCCACACUGGAACUGAGACACGGUCCUAGACUCCUACGGGAGGCAGCAGUGGGGAAUUUUGGACAAUGGGGGCAACCCUGAUCCAGCCAUGCCGCGUGAGUGAAGAAGGCC